Molecule: ribosomal RNA, 474 nt
Filed under: Triticum aestivum (bread wheat)
Lineage: Eukaryota; Viridiplantae; Streptophyta; Magnoliopsida; Poales; Poaceae
Description: partial small subunit ribosomal RNA
Source: RNAcentral
AUGUUGUUCAACUACAAGAUCGGCAUCCACCUGCUGCAGUCGAAGCAUCCCGAGAGCUUACCGGCGAAGAAGGAGAUCAACCCCAAGGAUAACCACAUCUCCUUCCAGUGCGAGAGCAUGGUGGCGGUGGAGCGGCGGCUCAAGGAGCUGGGCAUCCCGUACAUCCAGCGGUGCGUGGAGGAGGGCGGCAUCUACGUGGACCAGAUCUUCUUCCACGACCCCGAUGGCUUCAUGAUCGAGAUCUGCAACUGCGACAACCUCCCGAUCGUCCCGCUCGCCGACCAGACCUUCGCAAUGGCCGCCUGCAAGAGGGCCGCCUCCGUCAAGCAACAGCAGGUGCCCAUGCCAGUCGCACAAGUAGCGCAAGCAACCCCUGCUCCGACGGUGGCCGCGGCUUCGCAGUGCAUUCCGGCGCUGAACCCGGCCUUGCAGCGCGUCGGCGGCGAGGAGGCGGCGCAUAUCUCGUGCGCGUGA